GGGUUGUGAGGUUAAGCGACUAAGCGUACACGGUGGAUGCCCUGGCAGUCAGAGGCGAUGAAGGACGUGCUAAUCUGCGAUAAGCGUCGGUAAGGUGAUAUGAACCGUUAUAACCGGCGAUUUCCGAAUGGGGAAACCCAGUGUGUUUCGACACACUAUCAUUAACUGAAUCCAUAGGUUAAUGAGGCGAACCGGGGGAACUGAAACAUCUAAGUACCCCGAGGAAAAGAAAUCAACCGAGAUUCCCCCAGUAGCGGCGAGCGAACGGGGAGGAGCCCAGAGCCUGAAUCAGUGUGUGUGUUAGUGGAAGCGUCUGGAAAGGCGYGCGAUACAGGGUGACAGCCCCGUACACAAAAAUGCACAUAYUGUGAGCUCGAUGAGUAGGGCGGGACACGUGGUAUCCUGUCUGAAUAUGGGGGGACCAUCCUCCAAGGCUAAAUACUCCUGACUGACCGAUAGUGAACCAGUACCGUGAGGGAAAGGCGAAAAGAACCCCGGCGAGGGGAGUGAAAAAGAACCUGAAACCGUGUACGUACAAGCAGUGGGAGCCUCUUWAUGGGGUGACUGCGUACCUUUUGUAUAAUGGGUCAGCGACUUAUAUUCUGUAGCAAGGUUAACCGAAUAGGGGAGCCGAAGGGAAACCGAGUCUUAACUGGGCGUUAAGUUGCAGGGUAUAGACCCGAAACCCGGUGAUCUAGCCAUGGGCAGGUUGAAGGUUGGGUAACACUAACUGGAGGACCGAACCGACUAAUGUUGAAAAAUUAGCGGAUGACUUGUGGCUGGGGGUGAAAGGCCAAUCAAACCGGGAGAUAGCUGGUUCUCCCCGAAAGCUAUUUAGGUAGCGCCUCGUGAAUUCAUCUCCGGGGGUAGAGCACUGUUUCGGCAAGGGGGUCAUCCCGACUUACCAACCCGAUGCAAACUGCGAAUACCGGAGAAUGUUAUCACGGGAGACACACGGCGGGUGCUAACGUCCGUCGUGAAGAGGGAAACAACCCAGACCGCCAGCUAAGGUCCCAAAGUCAUGGUUAAGUGGGAAACGAUGUGGGAAGGCCCAGACAGCCAGGAUGUUGGCUUAGAAGCAGCCAUCAUUUAAAGAAAGCGUAAUAGCUCACUGGUCGAGUCGGCCUGCGCGGAAGAUGUAACGGGGCUAAACCAUGCACCGAAGCUGCGGCAGCGACGCUUAUGCGUUGUUGGGUAGGGGAGCGUUCUGUAAGCCUGYGAAGGUGURCUGUGAGGYAUGCUGGAGGUAUCAGAAGUGCGAAUGCUGACAUAAGUAACGAUAAAGCGGGUGAAAAGCCCGCUCGCCGGAAGACCAAGGGUUCCUGUCCAACGUUAAUCGGGGCAGGGUGAGUCGACCCCUAAGGCGAGGCCGAAAGGCGUAGUCGAUGGGAAACAGGUUAAUAUUCCUGUACUUGGUGUUACUGCGAAGGGGGGACGGAGAAGGCUAUGUUGGCCGGGCGACGGUUGUCCCGGUUUAAGCGUGUAGGCUGGUUUUCCAGGCAAAUCCGGAAAAUCAAGGCUGAGGCGUGAUGACGAGGCACUACGGUGCUGAAGCAACAAAUGCCCUGCUUCCAGGAAAAGCCUCUAAGCAUCAGGUAACAUCAAAUCGUACCCCAAACCGACACAGGUGGUCAGGUAGAGAAUACCAAGGCGCUUGAGAGAACUCGGGUGAAGGAACUAGGCAAAAUGGUGCCGUAACUUCGGGAGAAGGCACGCUGAUAUGUAGGUGAAGCGACUUGCUCGUGGAGCUGAAAUCAGUCGAAGAUACCAGCUGGCUGCAACUGUUUAUUAAAAACACAGCACUGUGCAAACACGAAAGUGGACGUAUACGGUGUGACGCCUGCCCGGUGCCGGAAGGUUAAUUGAUGGGGUUAGCGGUAACGCGAAGCUCUUGAUCGAAGCCCCGGUAAACGGCGGCCGUAACUAUAACGGUCCUAAGGUAGCGAAAUUCCUUGUCGGGUAAGUUCCGACCUGCACGAAUGGCGUAAUGAUGGCCAGGCUGUCUCCACCCGAGACUCAGUGAAAUUGAACUCGCUGUGAAGAUGCAGUGUACCCGCGGCAAGACGGAAAGACCCCGUGAACCUUUACUAUAGCUUGACACUGAACAUUGAGCCUUGAUGUGUAGGAUAGGUGGGAGGCUUUGAAGUGUGGACGCCAGUCUGCAUGGAGCCGACCUUGAAAUACCACCCUUUAAUGUUUGAUGUUCUAACGUUGGCCCCUGAUCGGGGUUGCGGACAGUGUCUGGUGGGUAGUUUGACUGGGGCGGUCUCCUCCUAAAGAGUAACGGAGGAGCACGAAGGUUGGCUAAUCCUGGUCGGACAUCAGGAGGUUAGUGCAAUGGCAUAAGCCAGCUUGACUGCGAGCGUGACGGCGCGAGCAGGUGCGAAAGCAGGUCAUAGUGAUCCGGUGGUUCUGAAUGGAAGGGCCAUCGCUCAACGGAUAAAAGGUACUCCGGGGAUAACAGGCUGAUACCGCCCAAGAGUUCAUAUCGACGGCGGUGUUUGGCACCUCGAUGUCGGCUCAUCACAUCCUGGGGCUGAAGUAGGUCCCAAGGGUAUGGCUGUUCGCCAUUUAAAGUGGUACGCGAGCUGGGUUUAGAACGUCGUGAGACAGUUCGGUCCCUAUCUGCCGUGGGCGCUGGAGAACUGAGGGGGGCUGCUCCUAGUACGAGAGGACCGGAGUGGACGCAUCACUGGUGUUCGGGUUGUCAUGCCAAUGGCACUGCCCGGUAGCUAAAUGCGGAAGAGAUAAGUGCUGAAAGCAUCUAAGCACGAAACUUGCCCCGAGAUGAGUUCUCCCUGAGACUUUAAGUCUCCUGAAGGAACGUUGAAGACGACGACGUUGAUAGGCCGGGUGUGUAAGCGCAGCGAUGCGUUGAGCUAACCGGUACUAAUGAACCGUGAGGCUUAACCUUACAACGCCGAAGRUGUU
This 2931-nucleotide ribosomal RNA is filed under the name Escherichia coli. RNAcentral's name for it is "23S ribosomal RNA". It matches the Rfam family "Bacterial large subunit ribosomal RNA". Lineage: Bacteria; Pseudomonadati; Pseudomonadota; Gammaproteobacteria; Enterobacterales; Enterobacteriaceae. The record is from RNAcentral.